Molecule: non-coding RNA, 330 nt
Organism: Cinara cedri
Lineage: Eukaryota; Metazoa; Arthropoda; Insecta; Hemiptera; Aphididae
Source: the annotation of a GenBank genome assembly
AAAAUUGGUUUACAUUGAGAGGAUUUCAUACCCGUAAUUUUAUUAUAAAAAUUGAUUUGCGCAGGACAGCUUCUUUAAACUACCAUGUUUAUAAUGGAAUUGCCAAAUUUCACAACAAUUGAAGAAGCUAACAUUUUAGUUUUUUUCAUGAUUACACAAAAAAUACUUCAAUAUUUAUAAUAUUGAUACAGGAAUACAUGGAAAAUUAUUUGUAAAAAUGUCUUACACUCUUUAAAUAUUGGGUGACCAUCCUCUAACAGUGAAAUAUAAAUGACAACCUUAGCGUGCUUUAUUUUAUAAUUUAGAGUAAAAAAAAUAUAACAUUAAUUU